GAGGUACAGCCUGCCCAGUGACAUUGUUCAACGGCCGCGGUAUCCUAACCGUGCGAAGGUAGCGUAAUCACUUGUUCUUUAAUUGAGGACUAGUAUGAAUGGCUUCACGAAGACUGUACUGUCUCCUUUUUCUAAUCAAUGAAACUAAUCUCCCCGUGAAGAAGCGGGGAUAUGUCUAUAAGACGAGAAGACCCUAUGGAGCUUUAAACAACUGAAAUACCUGCUUUUUAAUUUAACAUUUUUCCGAAAGCUAAACCCAUAUUAAGCAUGCUAAUUUCUAGUUUUAGGUUGGGGUGACCACGGAGUAAAAAUCAACCUCCACGCCGAACAGAGCCAUUUUCUUUAGCAAAAAGUUACACUUUAUUCAUCAACAUAUUGACCUUCAUUGACCCAAUAAUUUGAUCAACGAACCAAGUUACCCUAGGGAUAACAGCGCAAUCUACUUCGAGAGCUCAUAUCGACAAGUAGGUUUACGACCUCGAUGUUGGAUCAGGGUAUCCCAGUGGUGUAGCCGCUACUAAGGGUUCGUUUGUUCAACGAUUAAAAC
This 547-nucleotide ribosomal RNA is filed under the name Minyobates steyermarki (demonic poison frog). Its description in RNAcentral is "partial 16S ribosomal RNA". It matches the Rfam family "Bacterial large subunit ribosomal RNA", at positions 1849 to 2594 of the family's 2925-position model. The record is from RNAcentral. Lineage: Eukaryota; Metazoa; Chordata; Amphibia; Anura; Dendrobatidae.